This 395-nucleotide unclassified non-coding RNA is filed under the name soil metagenome. RNAcentral's name for it is "partial contains 5.8S ribosomal RNA, internal transcribed spacer 2, and large subunit ribosomal RNA". The stretch from base 1 to 120 matches the Rfam family "5.8S ribosomal RNA", at positions 35 to 154 of the family's 154-position model. The record is from RNAcentral.
GAUGAAGAACGUAGUGAAAUGCGAUAAGUAAUGUGAAUUGCAGAAUUCAGUGAAUCAUCGAAUCUUUGAACGCACCUUGCGCCUUUUGGUAUUCCGAAAGGCACACCUGUUUGAGCGUCAUGAAUACCUCAAUCUCCAUCUUUUCUUCGGAUUGAUGGGUGACUUGGAUGUUGAGCCCUGCUGGUAUGCUAUAUCAGCUGGCUUUAAACUUAUUAGCCGGCUCUGUACUGGAUCGGUUUGACUCGACGUGAUAAUAUUAUCGUUGAGGAUGCAUGUCUCAUGCAGCCGGAAAGUAUCAAAGCAGCUUCUAGCUUGCCUUUAGUGCACUUUUACAUUUUAGACCUCAGAUCAGGUGGGACUACCCGCUGAACUUAAGCAUAUCAAUAAGCGGAAGA